AUGAAGCACGCGCACCUGCUCGAGCUGCUUUACCACCUGGUCAUGCCAGCGGUGCCCAUGCUCACUGACACGGAGAAUGCACACACCACCCUGCCGCUCGGAGAAAUCGAAGUGCAUAUCUCUGUCCCUGAGGAGCAGCAACCGGGCGGCGGCAGCCAAGGCCAGGAGGAGAAGCCUUGCACUAGCACCGACAGCGAGCACGUGAUGAUGCAACUGUUCGAAUUCAUCGCGUUGAAGCUCAAGGGUGGUCGCCUUGGUAAGGAGAUCACGAUCCCACCGGUGUUCGAGCUGGUUAGCUCCGGCGUUAAGUUUGCGCCCACCAACGGCAACAUGUCUAGUGCGUCAACUAUCGCAUUCGACCGCAAGACAGCGACACUCUACCUCCCCGCGGUGACCCUCGACGGCAACACUGAGGUGGUGCUCCAGAACCUGAUCGCCUUCGAGUCAUCGCCGCAUCAGGCCCGCUGUGAGGGGGCCAACCUGUGCAACGGCAUGAGCCGGUCGGUGCAGCACUCCAAGGUGCCGACCAUGGACAAGGUUAUCGAGGAUGUGAACCGCUACUACGAUGGUCGGUGGCGCGUCAAGACGAAGCGGUUCAUGCACAAGUAUGUGCUCAGCUCGUGGAAGAUUCUCACCUUCCUCGCCGCCAUCAGCAUACUGCUGCUCACCACGUUGCAGGUCUUCAGCUCCAUUUACACAUGCUUCUGA
Molecule: ribosomal RNA, 708 nt
Filed under: Triticum aestivum (bread wheat)
Lineage: Eukaryota; Viridiplantae; Streptophyta; Magnoliopsida; Poales; Poaceae
Description: partial small subunit ribosomal RNA
Source: RNAcentral